AAGAAACCUGGUUGAAUCCCCACCACCUUGGCUGAAGGAAGGCUGCUCAGGAGGAAGCACCUCCGGGUUCUAAGAUGGGCUUGCUUCUUCGACAGCGACUUCCCGUCAGUAGCUCUCCUCUGCAGCCUCUCUUCAGGGUGUCUCAGAGGGACAUGGAGGGAAUAAGAGGUCUCUGCCCUUCUUCAUCCCACCCACCCAUCCGCUUCGCUUCCCUUAAUUCUUGGGUUAAGAAUUAGGGCGUUUCGAGCACUUCAGCGGAGAAGACAAUGGCACCCCACUCCAGUACUCUUGCCUGGAAAACCUCAUGGACGGAGGAGCCUGGUGGGCUGCAGUCCAUGGGGUCGCGAGGAGUCGGACACAACUGAGCGACUUCACUUUCACUUUUCACUUUCAUGCAUUGGAGAAGGCAAUGGCAACCCACUCCAGUACUUUUGCCUGGAGAAUCCCAGGGACGGCAGAGCCUGGUAGGCUGCUGUCUAUGGGGUCGCACAGAGUCGAACACUGACGCGACUUAGCAGCAGCAGCAGCAGCAGAGCACUUGAGACACGCACAGUUCUUAGCUGCGAUUCCUAGGAUUCUAGAAUUAACUCGUGCUUUUCCUUGCGAACACCGUCAUCAUUGCUUCACAUAUAGUGGGAAGACUAUGGUGGGUGGCCCCACCCACACCCACACCCACACCACAUCCCGCAGUGAUACAACCAGGCCCGUGGUCCACGCCCUUCAGACUCUCGCGGUCUCCGCCCUGGCUCGUCGCGCUAGGCCCCUGCAGCUGGGGCUCUCCACUGCCUCCAUGGGCGUGCCUUCUUCAGAAGUCUUGGGUUGUAGUCCAGUCUCAACCUCUAACCGGAGCCUCUCGCCUCUAAUGCGCAGAGAGGGGAAUGACGCCAGGCACCUUCACCCACAUCCUGGAGUGGCAGAUGGGGGUUACCAGUCACUUUGAUGCCAAAAUCAUAUUGGAUAACAGAGUCACAGGAAUUUUCUAUACCCUGAAUAUGAAGCUACAUCUAUUUUGAAGGAGGAACUUCAUGGAUGAGAAUUUCAGCUGGUGUAUCUGGGAGACAGAUUCUCUGGAGUCUGGGGAGGCAGAAUGAGUAAGCCAGGAGGGAAGAAGCAAAGGAUAAAAA
Long non-coding RNA from Bos taurus (domestic cattle), 1124 nucleotides. Lineage: Eukaryota; Metazoa; Chordata; Mammalia; Artiodactyla; Bovidae. The record is from Ensembl.